This 452-nucleotide ribosomal RNA is filed under the name uncultured bacterium. RNAcentral's name for it is "bacterial SSU rRNA". It matches the Rfam family "Bacterial small subunit ribosomal RNA", at positions 9 to 507 of the family's 1533-position model. The record is from RNAcentral.
CGAGUUUGAUCCUGGCUCAGAACGAACGCUGGCGGCAGGCCUAACACAUGCAAGUCGAGCGAACCCUUCGGGGUUAGCGGCGGACGGGUUAGUAACGCGUGGGAAUAUACCCUUUGGUACGGAAUAGCCUCGGGAAACUGAGAGUAAUACCGUAUGUGCCCUUCGGGGAAAGAUUUAUCGCCAAAGGAUUAGCCCGCGUUGGAUUAGAUAGUUGGUGGGGUAAUGGCCUACCAAGUCUACGAUCCAUAGCUGGUUUGAGAGGAUGAUCAGCAACACUGGGACUGAGACACGGCCCAGACUCCUACGGGAGGCAGCAGUGGGGAAUCUUAGACAAUGGGCGCAAGCCUGAUCUAGCCAUGCCGCGUGGACGAUGAAGGCCUUAGGGUUGUAAAGUCCUUUCAGAUGGGAAGAUAAUGACGGUACCAUCAGAAGAAGCCCCGGCUAACUCCGUG